Pelobates cultripes (western spadefoot toad) is the source of this 439-nucleotide non-coding RNA. The record is from the annotation of a GenBank genome assembly. NCBI's taxonomy places the organism in Eukaryota, Metazoa, Chordata, Amphibia, Anura, Pelobatidae.
CCUUUCCAAGGGCGCUUACGUGUGGUCUCCUGAUCCGAGGGUUGAGAAUCCUCGGAGUCAGAAGGCAAGCGUGCGGUAGGAUUGACUUCGGCAGAAGUCUUCUCAUGAAAGGCGGCUAACGCCUUGGGAAUGGAUUCGGCAAUGGUUGAGACCAGCCAAGCUCUAAGUUCUUGGGAGAUUGCGGGCUCUGUAUUAUCAGACAUGGUAUGUCCUAAGUGGUCUGACUUAUAGUCAAUUGCUAAGGAAAUAAGUAAUAAGUGGGGAUCACCCGAUAGUAUCAAGCGAAAUUUAUAAAUGGGGGUCGACCAAAAUAUUUUGUAGAUAAUAGGUAAAGGGUGGCAUAUAAUAUUUAGUGGGGUAACCACUAAAAUAGACAAGUGGAUUGUACCACUAUAACAACAGUGAGUGAUAUUCGUCACUCAAUUUACUUAGACAGGUG